Octodon degus (degu) is the source of this 662-nucleotide RNA transcript. It is a transcript of the gene named RING finger protein 166-like, with no coding region annotated. NCBI's taxonomy places the organism in Eukaryota, Metazoa, Chordata, Mammalia, Rodentia, Octodontidae. The transcript is spliced from 2 exons. The record is from RefSeq and is a predicted model, not a curated record.
CAUCAGCAGUAGCUGCCAGCCAGACCUGCGGGCGGCAACAGCAGCCUGGAGGCUCAGUGCACUUGCGCCAUCUGCGUGGAGGUGUACCACCGCCCAGUGGUCUUUGGCAGAUGCGGCCACACACUCUGUGGGGAGUGUCUCCAGCCAUGUCUGCAGGUGCCUUGCCCCCUGUGCCCACUCUGCCGCCUGCCCUUUGACCUCAAGAAAGUGGACAAGGCCACCCUUGUGGAGAAGCACCUGUCAUCAUACAAAGCACCCUGCCAGGGAUGCAACAAGAAGGUGACCCUGGCAAACAUGAGAGUGCACAUGACCUCCCGCCUGAAGGUCCAGGAACAGGUGGCCAACUGCUCCAAGUUUGUUCCUGUGGUGUCCACAUCCCAGCCCAAUCCGAGCAUCAUCCCCACUGUGGUGCCCGAAACCUAGUCCAGCAGGAGCUGGUGAAGCACUGCAUGGAGAGCCACGGCAGUGUCCCAAACCGCGUGGUGUGUCCCAUCUGCUCAGUGAUACCCUGGGGCAACCCAAGCUACAAGAGCGCCAACUUCCUGCAGCACCUGCUGAACAGGCACAAGUGCUCCUAUGACACCUUCAUGAUGGGUGACUACAGCAUCAAUGAAGAAGCUGCCUUCCAGGCUGCCUUCACCCUGCCCCUCACUGAAAACUGA